CCUACGGGAGGCAGCAGUAAGGAAUAUUGGUCAAUGGAGGCAACUCUGAACCAGCCAUGCCGCGUGCAGGAAGAAGGCCCUAUGGGUCGUAAACUGCUUUUGUACCAGAGAAAACCCGAGUACGUGUACUCGGUUGAUAGUAUGGUAAGAAUAAGCAUCGGCUAACUUCGUGCCAGCAGCCGCGGUAAGACGAAGGAUGCAAGCGUUAUCCGGAUUCAUUGGGUUUAAAGGGUGCGUAGGCGGACUGAUAAGUCAGUGGUGAAAUCUCUCAGCUUAACUGAGAAACUGCCAUUGAUACUGUUAGUCUAGAGUAUAGAUGACGUUGGCGGAAUAUGACAUGUAGUGGUGAAAUACUUAGAUAUGUCAUAGAACACCGAUUGCGAAGGCAGCUAACGAAACUAUAACUGACGCUGAGGCACGAAAGUGCGGGGAUCAAACAGGAUUAGAUACCCUGGUAGUCCGCACCGUAAACGAUGAUUACUCGUUGUUGGCAAUAUGACCGUCAGCGACCAAGCGAAAGCGAUAAGAAUCCACCUGGGGAGUACGCCGGCAACGGUGAAACUUAAAUGAAUUGACCGGNUUGAGAGNGCGAGGACGACACGAGGGAGGAG
RNAcentral lists this ribosomal RNA (611 nucleotides) under uncultured bacterium. RNAcentral describes it as "bacterial SSU rRNA". It matches the Rfam family "Bacterial small subunit ribosomal RNA", at positions 338 to 950 of the family's 1533-position model. The record is from RNAcentral.